RNA transcript from Piliocolobus tephrosceles (Ugandan red Colobus), 5150 nucleotides. It is a transcript of the gene named intraflagellar transport 74, with no coding region annotated. The record is from RefSeq and is a predicted model, not a curated record. The transcript is spliced from 20 exons. NCBI's taxonomy places the organism in Eukaryota, Metazoa, Chordata, Mammalia, Primates, Cercopithecidae.
AUCCCGCCCCCGUUGCCGGGAUACGCCACAGCGCACGGCCGCUAGUGGGUAGGCCUGAGACCGGAGGAAAACUGCGCGUGGGCCUCAGAAAGAAGUUAGGGCACACGCGAGUCGGGCGAUCGCCCCCCUUCCGCGCCGGCGGAGUGAUUAAAGUAAAGAAACAAUGGCCAGCAAUCACAAAUCUUCAGCAGCUCGCCCUGUUUCAAGAGGUGGAGUUGGAUUAACAGGAAGGCCUCCUUCUGGGAUACGACCCCUAUCAGGAAAUAGAGUGGCAACUGCAAUGCCACCUGGGACAGCAAGACCAGGUUCUCGUAGUGGUCCCAUAGGGACUGGUGGAGUUCUGUCUUCUCAAAUCAAAGUUGCCGAUCGCCCUGUAACACAACAAGGUUUGACUGGAAUGAAAACUGGGAUGAAAGGUCCCCAGAGGCAAAUUUUAGACAAAUCUUAUUAUCUUGGGCUUCUUAGAAGUAAAAUAAGUGAACUUACAACAGAAGUUAAUAAACUUCAGAAGGAAAUAGAAAUGUACAAUCAAGAGAAUUCAGUAUAUUUGUCGUAUGAAAAGAGGGCUGAGACUUUAGCUGUUGAAAUGAAAGAGUUUCAAGGACAACUAGCAGACUACAACAUGUUGGUAGAUAAACUUAAUACCAACACUGAAAUGGAAGAAGUAAUGAAUGAUUACAAUAUGCUUAAAGCUCAAAAUGAUCGAGAAACACAAAGUAUGGAUGUCAUAUUUACUGAAAGACAAGCGAAAGAAAAACAAAUGAGAAGUGUAGAAGAAGAAAUUGAACAGGAAAAACAAGCAGCAGAUGACAUUAUCAAAAAUAUGUCUCUUGAAAACCAAGUCAAGUACCUAGAGAUGAAAGCCACAAAUGAGAAACUGUUACAGGAAUUAGAUACACUUCAACAACAAUUGGAUUCACAGAACAUGAAAAAAGAGAGCAUGGAAGCAGAAAUAGCUCACUCCCAGGUGAAACAGGAGGCUGUAUUGCUGCAUGAAAAGCUUUAUGAGUUGGAGUCCCAUCGAGAUCAAAUGAUUGCAGAAGACAAAAGCAUAGGAUCUCCAAUGGAAGAGAGAGAGAAAUUACUUAAGCAGGUUAAAGACGAUAAUCAGGAAAUAGCCAGCAUGGAAAGACAGUUAACAGAUAUAAAAGAAAAGAUAAAUCAGUUUAAUGAAGAAAUUAGACAACUUGAUAUGGAUUUAGAGGAACACCAAGGUGAAAUGAACCAGAAAUACAAGGAGCUAAAAAAAAGGGAGGAAAAUAUGGACACUUUUAUUGAGACUUUUGAGGAAACAAAGAAUCAGGAACUGGAACGAAAGGCACAGAUAGAAGCCAACAUUGUUUCACUCUUGGAGCACUGUAGUCGAAAUAUAAAUCGUAUGAAACAGAUAUCUUCUAUCACCAAUCAAGAGCUAAAGAUGAUGCAGGAUGACCUCAAUUUUAAAUCUACUGAAGUGCAGAAAUCACAAAGUACAGCUCGGAAUUUGACUUCAGUCAGCGUCUGCAGUUGGAUCUGCAGAAAAUGGAGCUUCUAGAAAGUAAGAUGACUGAAGAACAGCAUUCUCUAAAAAGCAAAAUUAAGCAAAUGACAACUGAUCUGGAGACAUAUAAUGAUUUACCAGCUUUAAAAUCAUCAGGUGAAGAAAAGAAAAAGAAAUUACAUCAGGAGAGAAUGAUCUUAUCAACCCGCAGAAAUGCCUUUAAGAAAAUAAUGGAGAAGCUAAACAUAGAAUAUGAGGCACUAAAAACACAAUUGCAAGAAAAUGAGACACAUUCUCAGCUUACAAAUUUGGAAAGAAAGUGGCAACACCAUGAGCAAAAUAAUUUUGUGAUGAAAGAAUUCAUAGCAACCAAGAGUCAAGAGAGUGAUUACCGGCCAAUUAUGAAAAAUGUGACCAAGCAGAUUGCAGAAUACAAUAAAACCAUCGUGGAUGCUUUACAUAGCACUAGCGGAAACUGAGUUUAAGUCAACUGAAAGUCUCUAAGGAAGUAUCCUCUUGCUGCUAAACUUGGUACAAGUUGACUACAAAAAAAAAAAAAAGCUUACCUUUGGAGUUUACCUAAAAUUCCUGAAUGUUAUAAUUUUUGUUGCCUCUUUUAAAAAUGAUAUUUUAAAAUAGUCAAUAGUUCAGUAAAUGGUUUGCAUAUUAAAAAGUAUCGUCUUCUUUUCUUUUUAUGAUACUUGUAUUUGAACCAAGAGAUAAAGAAACUAAAAGUGACCGUUGAAAUUUAUUUAGCUGGUAUAAUCCAUCUAUGGCAACAAAUGAGAUAAGCUUUUCUUGUAUCAACUCUAGGACGGAUGCAUGGACUAUGAUUCUGAUUUAGCACUUAUAUCAAUGUUGUCAAUUUUUACUUCUGGAAAAAAAUAGUAAGAUCAGAAGGGAGAUUUUUAGCUUUGAACCUUACUUCUCAAAUAGGUUAUACUUGAUGUGUAUUAGACCAUAUAAUGUCACAGAUAAAUUUAUAACGCAUAUUCUUUAUAGAGCAGUUAUACCUAAAGAUUUGGAAUUAGAAACUUUUAAUGUUUGCAAUUCUUAAAAUAUUUUUUCAUAUAUAUAUUCUUGGAAGAACAUUAGGUAAGAAACUACAUUUACAGUGGGGUGUUUGGGACUAUGGCUACUGCUCUUCAUUGCCACCCUAUAGUAUGUGUUUACUCUCUUGUACUACUAGGACUUAAGUAGAUUAAUUUAUAAGCAUUAGCCAGAAUAUUUGGGAAAAAAAUCUGGAAGAGGUAGGAUUGGGAGAGAGGCAUAGAGUCUGGAAGACAUUAUAGUAACUGUAGAUGUAUCUUCUCUUAUUGUGCAGGAAUGAGUCACCUUGGCCAGCAUAAAAUAUUACUUAAAACUAUCCUAUUUUUGCUCUGAUAUCAUGUUCACUAAGUAACUCUACUUUUCAGUAUUUCUGAGACAACACAUUGAUUUCUUAAAAAAAAAAACAAAAUAGCUUUAUUGAGAUAUUAUUUACAUACCUUAAAAUUUACUCAUAUAUGUUGAUUUUUUAAAAUAAAUAUUUAUAAUGGUAAAUUAUUCAAAUUCAGUCUAUACACAUUUAAAUAAAGGAGUGAGCAUUGUUGAGCUCGCUUAACUCUGGAUUACUAAUAUGGCUGAAGAUCCUGGACAAUCUGUUCAUUAAGGUGGCAUUCAUAAAAUGUGUUCCACAAAUCCUGAGCAUCUCAUUAUUAAUAGUGUUAUGCCUUCAAAGGAUUCAUGGGGAAAGAAGUUUGGGAAACAUUGUCUGAAACAAAGGUGAAUUAUUUUAUUUUUUCUUGACUGCUUAUAACCCUUAAUAUGCUAAUGUAUAAUAAGGUCAAGAAGAAUAUAUACUGUAAAGCAUUUCCCAGAGAUAGUUGUCCACAAAACCCUUACUUUCACAGAGCCUAGGUCACAUGAGAUGUGUCAUUCCAAGAAAUAGACUUCGUACACCAAAUAGACUUCAUACACUAAAAUAAUUUCAUCUACUCAAGUCCUUUGGGUGGCUCUUUGGCCUUUUUCGGAUAACCCCUGAGUAUGUCUCUUUUUAGCCACCCUCAGAUGUUUAUGCUGUGAUUCUGUGGAGUUUUCUAUUGGAAAUUGGUAGCAGAAAGUGCUUAUUAAAUUUCACAAGGGAAAAAAACUCUUUUAGCAGUUAAAGAGAGUGAAAUCUUAAAUUCAGUAGAUUGAACAAGUAAUAGAUUUUGAUGACAGUUUGCCCAGCCCUUCGUUCACUCAUAAAAUAUUACUGUAAUUUGGUGAUUAGGAGCCUUUAUGAAUAUACGUGACUGCUGAAAAAUGUUCGUCUUUUAUACAGUAACAACCAGAGGUAUGAUUGAGCAUAGAGUUUAGGCAAGAGAACUGACUACUACGGUCUCUUAAUCACAUUGGUUGUACUUAGUGGAUACUUCCAAGGAGGAAGGGAAUCUGGAAUACGUGUUUGUGGAUGAGUAAUCUUUGUUUUCCUCGUUUGAAAGCAAAUUUAAAUGCCUUUACUUUUUCCUUAGUUUUUUUUUUUUUAAUUUCUAUUUAAGUGUUCUUGACAUUUUACUGUGCCCUUUUAAACUAAUAACCAACUUAGUAACUUUUACUAUUAGUAAUAAGGGUUUUUAUCUGAGUGGUGGGAUUAUGGGUGAUUUUAAUCUUCCUUGGUCUUUUUGGUAUUUUCAAAAUUGUCUAAGAUGUACAUAUAAUACUUAGAAAUGCAAUAAAAUUCAAAUAAAGUAUUAUAUACAGUUGCUACUUUAACUCAUGAAAAGGAUGUAGUAAAAACUCUUCAGUCUUUGACGCUAAGGAGAACUGAACCAAUCUUUAUGCAGAAAGAAAGUAGGAGGAAGAUUGGCCUGUCCAUUAAAUAUAUGUGUUUGCAUUAUAACAAUGGGAAAUUCGGGAGGAAGAAAAUUUCUUGACAAAAAGCAAGGCUUUCAAUUUCCAUCCUAAAUUAUUCAUAUAUAAUAUUGGUGUGGGGGGGAAAUAAUUGAGCAGGAUUUCUUUAAAUUAAAACAUGUUUUAUCUGAGGGAAAUUCUCACUAAUGUCUCUUCCUUCCUCUCAGAGCCUUUCCACAAAUCCAACAAGAAUAUUCUCUUUACUGGGAUAGAACUGGAGGCUAAUAGCUGCAUGAACUGGCUCUUCCUGAGUCAGUCACAUUACUCAGGGGGUUCCAUUCAUGCUAAAAUAACACCUUGUAAGUCACGUGGAAAGAAGCUGCAGACUGAACAAACAUGCUGAGCAGUUUUACUAGUGAAGAUCAACAUGGGAAAGUUAGCAAGUCUUUGUUUUUCCCAUCCUUAUCCUUUAUCAGUAAAUAAACAUGAGUUCUUGAUAUUCUUUUUCCUGUGGAGUCCCUCAUUUGGACAAUACUAUAGUCUCAUUUUAAGGUACAAAAUUCAGUGCGUGCUUGGAGGAUUACAGCAUGGAGUCAUGAUAUUCACACCAGAGAUGAAAGGCCAGUUAGUAGUAGCUCCAGGGGUUUUUGCUGUCCCCUUGCUCAGUUUCUCUAGACUUCUUUCCUUUUGCUAUACAAUUGCAGUGUAAACAACCUUAGGGAAAUUAUAAUGUUUAGACUUAAAGUAAGAAGAAAUAAAGAUGGACCACUAGAAAAUUGUAGUAAUCUAUUUUUAAAUUGAUAUUGUGUCUCAUUUUUAUAUAUGUUUUAAAAUAAAAGUAGAUUAUGUCUUAAAA